Small nucleolar RNA from Lepus europaeus (European hare), 130 nucleotides. The record is from RefSeq and is a predicted model, not a curated record. Lineage: Eukaryota; Metazoa; Chordata; Mammalia; Lagomorpha; Leporidae.
GGUGGCCCUUAUCAAAGCUGCAGCCGCUUCCACAUAGCAGCUCUGGUCAAAAGGGAGCCGAGAUGACAAUUUUCCUUGAUGGUUGCCAUUCUGCUCUAACUGAUCUGCAACAUGUCAGGAAAAGACAGUC